Physcomitrium patens is the source of this 1087-nucleotide long non-coding RNA. RefSeq lists it as uncharacterized. The record is from RefSeq and is a predicted model, not a curated record. Lineage: Eukaryota; Viridiplantae; Streptophyta; Bryopsida; Funariales; Funariaceae.
GUCUGGAGUGCAGUUUUUUUUCUCUCUUUUUGCGUUUUCUUCCGAAUAGCCAAGCUCUGAAAAUUGUGUUCCGGUGUGUGGUGCGCACUGUGUUUUUUUUGGUGUGUUGCGGCUAGGGCAGCAUCGUUAUUUAUGCUACUGCAUUGUCAAACUUCUUUCCAUCUUUUUUUGUUUAUUGCAAGGACUGUGGUAGUGCCGCCAGCUCCUGUCUAUGUUCCUUCUUCCUCUUCAAUUCAGUGCUAGGUUCCCUCAAUCUCUGUGACUCUGCGAAGUUGCGGAAUCUGGGUCGGUUUUGCGCGGCGCUCUGUGGUAGCUCCGGAUUUCCUACGUCGUUGUUCUGCCGUUGACGAACUUUACCGGUGCAGUGUUGUUGCCCUUUAGAGGAUUCUGCCUCGUCUUCAACUCUUCAUUCCCUUGUUCCAGUGGAUGGUCUGCGGGAUUCAGGGAAGUAAACUGCCGAUUGUUGUAGGGAGUUUUGGUGAUGCCGGAGACGACGUGUGGUUGAGUGCAAUCUCUAAUUUCCUCCUUCAUGCACGCGGAUGCUCUCACUCUCCACUAAGCGGCUCGGCUUUAUCUUCUUCUUGUUCUCAGUUCCUAGCAUUUGCUUAUCUACAAAAGGUUCGGUUAAUGCUGCUUGUUUGUAGUUGGUUGCAGUCGAUUGAUCUAAGCUAGGGCAUGGUUGUCGGCAUCAAUCGGUGUCCCACUUGCACCAAGGCUUAGUUGGUAGUUAAGAUUUGGGCGUCAUUCUCUCAGCAGCAGCUGGAGUGUAAUGGUCGAGCUCUCACUACAUGUGUGUUUGCUGGGUUUUGAGAAAUUCUCGCCACCUUCUCGCAAGCACGUCGGUGAACAGUAAUUGCACAGUGAUGCAGAUACACAGACACUUGUUGAAUAUGCCUGUAGUACUGUGAUCGAUUGGUAGUAUGACUGUGGGCGGAUCAAGAUUGCCGCUGGAUUCUUAGUUUGCAAGGGUUGUCCUAAAUCUUUGAUCCACUUGUGCAUCUCCUAACAAGACCCCUGAUGAGCUCUUUUUUGGAGUUAAAUCAAACAUAUUACAUCUUUGAAUAAAUGGAUAUCUGCGUUACAAAUU